UCCCACAUUUGUUUAUGUGUGGAUUGUAACAGAAAUAUAUUACAUAUUCUACAUGGAGGAAAAAAAUAACUCAGACUAUAAUCGUUUACCGUUCAGUCUGAACAAUGCAAACAUUGAUGCACAGUUGGAGUUUCACUGCUGGGGAUCGUUGGUGCCGUUUUAGGCGCCUUUAGAUUUCAUCAAUCAAACUGACUGCAAUUUUCCAUAAAAAUGCUGAAUUUGGGUCAGAAUCUGGGCAAAGCAGAUAAAGAUCAUUGAAGCUGUCUUGUGAGAUGAUAAAUGGAGCCCCUUUCAGGCAAAUAAAACAAGAGUUUUAGUUUGGUUUCACUUU
Amblyraja radiata (thorny skate) is the source of this 331-nucleotide long non-coding RNA. RefSeq lists it as uncharacterized. The transcript is spliced from 2 exons. The record is from RefSeq and is a predicted model, not a curated record. NCBI's taxonomy places the organism in Eukaryota, Metazoa, Chordata, Chondrichthyes, Rajiformes, Rajidae.